GGCCUUGUAGCUCAGCUGGUACAGCGUGCGCAUACUAAACGUAGACGGCGUCUAUGCGUGGGUUCGAAUCCCACCGAAGCUA
RNAcentral lists this transfer RNA (82 nucleotides) under Echinostoma caproni. It matches the Rfam family "tRNA". From Rfam's summary of the family: Transfer RNA (tRNA) molecules are approximately 80 nucleotides in length. Their secondary structure includes four short double-helical elements and three loops (D, anti-codon, and T loops). Lineage: Eukaryota; Metazoa; Platyhelminthes; Trematoda; Plagiorchiida; Echinostomatidae. The record is from Rfam by way of RNAcentral.